RNAcentral lists this long non-coding RNA (1036 nucleotides) under Heterocephalus glaber (naked mole-rat). Its description in RNAcentral is "lncRNA (ENSHGLG00000047253.1)". The record is from RNAcentral. Lineage: Eukaryota; Metazoa; Chordata; Mammalia; Rodentia; Bathyergidae.
CCAAGUUUUUCUAAGUAACAUAUAUGAAUUUCAUGUGAAAAUUAAAAAAACAUCGCAAGCUUCAGCAUUGAUGAGUUUCAGUCUCCAGCAAAGCCUAGGGAUAUCGGUGAAAUGAAGACAAAUAUUCUGCAUAGCAUGUAUGGAUGUUAGUCCAGCCUUCAGUGGAGUCCUUGAAACCUCCUGAGUCUAGCCUUACAGACCACAUUCCUAGUACCUAUUCUGGCCUUCUGAGCUCUGACUAGGGUUGCACAUCAAGCACUGCUCACAACAUUGUAGGUCACCCUCAGCUGGCAUCUCUAAAACUUUACAACCUCCUGGAAAUAAGUUCCAAAGACUUCUAAAUCACAGGGCCAGACUCCCAACAUUCAACCACUUAGCAGAGAAGCAAGAGCCUGCAACAUCUCUGCUAUCAAUGCUGAGUCUUUAGAAAACUUCAGCUUCACUCCAACUACGGGUAACUGGGAAAAGGGGAAUGAGGACAGAUGUCCUUCCCACAAAAUCGCAUCUUAUCUUCCAUCCCCCAGCCUGCUGGUUAUUUGGAGGUAGAAGGGAGAGGAAACACAAACACGUUCUGCAAAGAAAGGCUGAGAGGACACAGCAUCAGCCCCUAAAUUUGCAUAACCAGUACCCUGGAUAGGACCAUAAAAGGAGGAUGUGGAUGCCAUUGAAUCUCACACCAAACACCAAUUAUUUCUAGCAGAAAGAGCAAGCUCUCCACUCUCGUAAUCUCUGUAAAAAAAAUUUACCAGAACACAUUCUUCAGAUCCUAGGUGUAUGUGCUAGGCUAAAGAGGAUAUCAUAUUGAGGAAGAAUCUCCUGCUUCUCAUUUCUUCCUGAGACCAUCUCUCUGUGUACACAGCUUUCCAGAAUUGCCUCUGCCCCCUGCUACCUUUCAAGUGUGGUUAUCCCAAAGUCGCUAGCUCCCUGCCCAGGUACACACUCGCGCUCUGGAGUCAGACCGCUUCCAUUCUGACACAUCUCCAUAGCUUUCUCUGCGGCCUAUUUGCUGUCUGUCCCAAGCAAGUGACUUAACCUA